GAAGAUAAUUUGUGAAAAUUGAUUAUGAUUAUGUGGUAAGUAUCUUGGUAUAAAUUGGAUGUUCUGCCAGUCAUCUUUUUGAUAUUCGACAUUUGCGCAAUUUGUUGGUGAUCUGUUCUCUGUUCUGUGAGUAGAAAUAAUACUUACCUAUCUAUAUAAUGCAGAAAAGAACUACAGCAAUGGAUUGAAAAUGAAAUUAUUGUAUAGACAAAAGCGAAAGGAACCUCGCAAGCAAAAUCAAAGGAAAUUAUUUUCUGGUAAUACAUAUAAGAAGAACUCUGGAGGCGAAUGCGACUGAGCAGGCCAUCUGAAACAUAAUUGACUGAAAAAAUAAAUCCAACUAUAGGUAGAAGGAUUCGCUGUUGGAGCAGUGGAAGCUUGACAUACAAACUAGAUUCAACUAUAGAACAUGUAUCGCAGUAGCGGCUGACUCUCUGCUCUCUGGCUUGCGAAAUAAACGCCCAUGGUAUCGUAAGAGUAUAUCGGAUUACGAAUGACCACGUCUUAGGAAUUUCGAUCACCAAAAUCAAGGAAGCCCUGAAUAAAAGAAUGAAGACAGUUGCACAAUGUGCAAUCAAUUUCCGUAUCCUGUACACCGAAUUGACAAGUCAAAAAAAAAUUGGAUUUCAGCACAACGAGUCUGGGUAGGCAAUGUCACAUCUAUAUAUAAACGUCUGCUUACAAUAGACAUUAAUGCGUUGUGGAAAAUCCAAACAUGCGUUUUCUGAUUAAGAGCCAAAUCUGACAAAACUCCAGACAAUAUUCUCGAAAUAACUUGGUUUGAUGACAAUGCAGAAAUUGAAAAAUUAGCACGGUCGUUGUUUCCCGAAUUAAAGAAGAACAAUUUCCGAAUGAUAUGAACUGAAGAAAAACUGGACUGAAGUUACAUUUGAGACGCGAGUGCAGAAGUUUUGCGACGCAUUUUCUGCCUAUGUAUAACCUUAUCAGUAAAUAACGAAUACAUUCGUGCGCCGUGAAAUAUUGAGGGGGUCGAUUGUAACCCAGACCCAACCCAUUUGAGAAAACAUUUUAAGCGGUUAAAAGCUCCCGAACACCACGUAGACGAUUUUUUGUUCUAUUGGUCAUCAGUUAAACUCAUCUUAUAAUACUUUUGUUUCGCGUCUUUUACUUCCUGUUCGGCAAACAUCUAAAGGAUUAGUAAGUAUCAAGAGAAAAUGAAAGUUUCGUGAAGGAAAAUGGCGUAAUAAUAUCUAGAGCUCAUCACACUGAUUAUUGCGUAUACAACUGACAAUAAAAAGAAUAAGAUCUAAAUGGACAUUGGUAUUCCAAAUGGAGACAAAUGCUACGGAGCAUCUGAAAAAUAUUCUCAGAAAAACGGAGAUUUCCUUUGGACAAUUUUCGCAGUUCAAAAAGAUAAUUUUAUCGAAGAAUGUGCUCGUGACAUGCACAAAAUAGUUGAUCAGUGUAUUUUAUUUACCGGAGUCAAUUUAAAGAUAUCUCUUCGUACCAUUCCGUUGCGUUGAUGGUUGCAACGGAACUGUACAAAGUCUAAAACAGAUAUGAAGAAUGUUUAUGUGCCCGUGGCAUACACAAAACUAAAUUGUCCAUUCUUCAAAAUUAAGAUGAAAUGAAUAAUAUUCUUAUUAACUUAGGAUUUGAUAUCGAGAAGAUGAGAAUGAGUGUAAUUGCCCUAGCACACCUACAGAUUCUUCACAAAAAACUACCAUUUGGAACUUAUAUAGAAGCAAAGCAUAUUAGAACAACAAAGACUGAAAGUGAAAGAUUGGAAGAACAAUCCAAACGAAUUAAUGAACCAUAUAAACGACGAAGUAUAAUUGCAAAUGGACUUCCCACAGAAGAAUUCGCUGUUGGAGUUGCGAAAGCUCGUAGAAUCCUGUCCUAUACCUAAACACUUCACGAAGAAGAAGUGGAUAGAUACUUCACAAAUCUGAGACUCACAAAAAUUAAAUUCAACUAUAGGUGCGGCUACACAUAUUAAAUUGUAUAUACUACUUGGAAGGAAUUCACGGAAAAGGUUGGCCAGUUUUAACAACAAAAAAAAAACUUUUUGGUGAUGGUCGAUUAGAUUCUACGUCACUUGUAAACCAUUAAAAAAAUUAGAAAAUU
Molecule: long non-coding RNA, 2088 nt
Organism: Planococcus citri (citrus mealybug)
Lineage: Eukaryota; Metazoa; Arthropoda; Insecta; Hemiptera; Pseudococcidae
Exons: 5
Source: RefSeq, a predicted model, not a curated record